Xyrichtys novacula (pearly razorfish) is the source of this 1002-nucleotide non-coding RNA. Lineage: Eukaryota; Metazoa; Chordata; Actinopteri; Labriformes; Labridae. The record is from the annotation of a GenBank genome assembly.
AACAUUGUUCGUUUUGGCCAGUUUUAAGGUUUUUUAGCAUGUGUAAUGGAAUGAAUGUGUUGAAUUAGUAAUCCCUUGUGUAAAGCCGUUGUUUUAGUGUUCUUUUGAUGAGUUUGGCUUGUUGUUAUGCAAAGUGUUUGUUUUGGCGAGUUUGAACGUUUUUGAGCAUGUGUAAUGGCAUGAAUGCGUUAAGCUGUUGUUUUAGUGUUCUUUUGAUGAGUUUGGCUUGUUGUUAUGAACAUUGUUCGUUUUGGCCAGUUUGAAGGUUUCUUAGCAUGUGUAAUGGCAUGAAUGCGUUAAGCUGUUGUUUUAGUGUUCUUUUGAUGAGUUUGGCUUGUUGUUAUGAACAUUGUUCGUUUUGGCCAGUUUGAAGGUUUUUGAGCAUGUGUAAUGGCAUGAAUGCGUUAAGCUGUUGUUUUAGUGUUCUUUUGAUGAGUUUGGCUUGUUGUUAUGAAAAGUGUUUGUUUUGGCCAGUUUGAACGUUUUUGAGCAUGUGUAAUGGCAUGAAUGCGUUAAGCUGUUGUUUUAGUGUUCUUUUGAUGAGUUUGGCUUGUUUUUAUGAACAUUGUUCGUUUUAGCGAGAUUUAAGGUAUUUGAGCAUGUGUAUCAGCAUGAAUGUGUUAAGCUGUUGUUUUAGUGUUCUUUUGAUGAGUUUGGCUUGUUGUUAUGAACAUUGUUCGUUUUUGCAAGUUUGAAGGCUUUUGAGCAUGUGUGGUGACAUGAAUGUGUUGAAUUAGUAAUCCCUUGUGUGAAGCUUUUGUUUUAGUGUUCUUUUGAUGAGUUUGGCGUGUUGUUAUGAACAGUGUUUGUUUUGGCGAGUUUGAAGGUUUUUGAGUAUGUGUUAUGGCAUGAAUGUGUUGAAUUAGUAAUCCCUUGUGUGAAGCUGUUGUUUUAGUGUUCCUUUGAUGAGUUUGGCUUGUUGUUAUGAACAUUGUUUGUUUUGGGGAGUUUGAAGGCUUUUGAGCAUGUGUAAUGGCAUGAAUGUGUUGAAUUAGUAAUCCC